This 78-nucleotide transfer RNA is filed under the name Ignisphaera aggregans. Its description in RNAcentral is "tRNA-His". It matches the Rfam family "tRNA". From Rfam's summary of the family: Transfer RNA (tRNA) molecules are approximately 80 nucleotides in length. Their secondary structure includes four short double-helical elements and three loops (D, anti-codon, and T loops). Further hydrogen bonds mediate the characteristic L-shaped molecular structure. tRNAs have two regions of fundamental functional importance: the anti-codon, which is responsible for specific mRNA codon recognition, and the 3' end, to which the tRNAs corresponding amino acid is attached (by aminoacyl-tRNA synthetases). tRNAs cope with the degeneracy of the genetic code in two manners: having more than one tRNA (with a specific anti-codon) for a particular amino acid; and 'wobble' base-pairing, i.e. permitting non-standard base-pairing at the 3rd anti-codon position. The record is from RNAcentral. Lineage: Archaea; Thermoproteati; Thermoproteota; Thermoprotei; Desulfurococcales; Desulfurococcaceae. RNAcentral also lists the same sequence under 1 other name.
GCCGCGGUAGCUCAGCCUGGUUAGAGCGCGGGACUGUGGAUCCCGAGGUCCCGGGUUCAAAUCCCGGCCGCGGCCCCA